UGGGGAAUUUUGGACAAUGGGGGCAACCCUGAUCCAGCCAUCCCGCGUGUGCGAUGAAGGCCUUCGGGUUGUAAAGCACUUUUGGCAGGAAAGAAAAGGGCCUGGUUAAUACCUGGGUCAAAUGACGGUACCUGCAGAAUAAGCACCGGCUAACUACGUGCCAGCAGCCGCGGUAAUACGUAGGGUGCAAGCGUUAAUCGGAAUUACUGGGCGUAAAGCGUGCGCAGGCGGUUCGGAAAGAAAGGUGUGAAAUCCCCGGGCUUAACCUGGGAACGGCACUUUUAACUACCGGGCUAGAGUGUGUCAGAGGGGGGUGGAAUUCCGCGUGUAGCAGUGAAAUGCGUAGAGAUGCGGAGGAACACCGAUGGCGAAGGCAGCCCCCUGGGAUAACACUGACGCUCAUGCACGAAAGCGUGGGGAGCAAACA
Molecule: ribosomal RNA, 427 nt
Filed under: uncultured bacterium
Lineage: Bacteria
Description: bacterial SSU rRNA
Rfam family: Bacterial small subunit ribosomal RNA
Source: RNAcentral